Molecule: ribosomal RNA, 229 nt
Filed under: uncultured bacterium
Lineage: Bacteria
Description: partial 16S ribosomal RNA
Rfam family: Bacterial small subunit ribosomal RNA
Source: RNAcentral
CGGGUGAGUAACGCGUAGGAAUCUACCUGGUAGUGGGGGACAACAUGGGGAAACUCAUGCUAAUACCGCAUACGCCCUAUGGGGGAAAGCGGGGGGACCUUCGGGCCUCGCGCUAUCAGAUGAGCCUGCGUAGGAUUAGCUUGUUGGUGAGGUAAAGGCUCACCAAGGCGACGAUCCUUAGCUGGUCUGAGAGGAUGAUCAGCCACACUGGAACUGAGACACGGUCCAG